CCCCUGNAAAGACUGCGAAAGCAGGGACGCUAUCUUCGGAUAGACAGGGAGACAGGUGGUGCAUGGUUGUCGUCAGCUCGUGUCGUGAGAUGUUGGGUUAAGUCCCGCAACGAGCGCAACCCCUACGGAUAGUUGCCAGCGGGUAAAGCCGGGCACUCUAACCGAACUGCCGUUGACAAAACGGAGGAAGGUGGGGAUGACGUCAAAUCAUCAUGCCCUUUAUGUCCUGGGCUACACACGUGCUACAAUGGCCGGUACAAAGGGCAGCGAACCCGCGAGGGGGAGCGAAUCCCGGCAAAGCCGGUCCCAGUUCGGAUUGCAGGCUGCAACCCGCCUGCAUGAAGUCGGAAUCGCUAGUAAUCGCAGGUCAGCAUACUGCGGUGAAUACGUUCCCGGGUCUUGUACACACCG
This 411-nucleotide ribosomal RNA is filed under the name uncultured bacterium. RNAcentral describes it as "bacterial SSU rRNA". It matches the Rfam family "Bacterial small subunit ribosomal RNA", at positions 988 to 1392 of the family's 1533-position model. The record is from RNAcentral.